GGAAUUCUCAGGACAAAUACUUCAAGAGCUCAAUAACCAGCAGUAAAUCAGAAAUCAUCAGAUUUUUCUUCACAUGGAGACAGAACUCAGAUCUCUCGGAAUGAAACAAAAGUUUUCUAAAUCUUUAUAUUAUGUUGAUGCCCAAAAAAGUGUCAUUCUGUUUCUUGGCUAUUUAAUAUCUUGACUAGAAGGGUUUUAAAAAAUUAAGACUUGUGAAUCAAGUAAGAAGGAAUUCCAAAAUGCCUAUACCCCUCCAUCUAGCUAGAGUUUUAUUUAGAUUGUGGCCAUCAAGAUGCAUCACAGCUCUGACUUCAUUCCUGUGUCCUGUAGGGAGGCAUUGUGAGAGGAAAUGGGAGGGUAUGCAUGAUGCCCUGAGCAAUGUGUGUUUCUGUAUAACAUCCAAAUCAGACACUAGUGGGAUGUGUCAGAUAUCACACCAGAAAGAUUUCUUAUGAGAAUGGGUUUAUAUGGCUCAGUUUUGUAAACCCAUUAAUGUUUCACUAAGUCUGUUCCUUGUUUGUAUAAUUUUCGUAGUGUAUGCACUAGUAGUGGCCAGUAUUUGAAGAUAAAAGUAACAAUUUAGAGCAUUUGAAUGGCCCUGGAUUCAGUCCCUGGCAUGCACACAUGCACACACUUAUAAUUUCAGGGGAGUAACCAUUAUUUCCCUAACUAGCUUUUACUGGUCUUUUAGGAGCAUUCAACUGUCUCAGAAAAAUACCAAGUUAGAUUUUUUUUUUUCUUUUUGGAAAAUCAACAUAUUUAAGUUUGGUGAGCACAUCCUGCUGUCAGUACGCUUCUACUUUUUUCUAACCUCGGCAAUUUGAAUACUGUUUUCAUUUUUAGUCUUCUUAUCAAGAGUUUUCUGACUAUUCUAGCUUUUGUCAUUAAGCAUUUUGGCUGUCGUUACACAAAAUUUCAUAAAGUUUGCUGGUCUGUGUUAGAUAACAUCUAAAAAGACAUGAUUCUGAACAGCCUCAUUUCACCCCUUAGAGUGCUUAUUAUGUGUCUAAGUGUGUGCCCAGAAUUGUGCCAGAUGUGGUGGAAAAAGCAGUUACUUGCAGCAAAUUAAUAAAAC
RNAcentral lists this long non-coding RNA (1075 nucleotides) under Marmota monax (woodchuck). Lineage: Eukaryota; Metazoa; Chordata; Mammalia; Rodentia; Sciuridae. The record is from RNAcentral.